UAUGGGUCCCCACUGGAGAAGCUGUAGCAUCGGUAGGUUCCGCUGGCCGCUCACCAUGGCAGCCGGCUCCAUCACCGCCGGCCAGCGAGAGGGCAAGACAAGAGGGCUGACAAGAGGGACGCUACCAUCACAGAGAAGUCUGAACUUUUGCGUGGCCUGUUGCCCUGGUGAUAAACUGAUGCCUUGUUUCCUGAAAGGAGUAAAUCCAUGACUUGCCUUUGUUCAGCUCAUGGGCAUUCACCCAUACACAGAGGAAAAAGUAAAACCUACAACUCGGGCA
Molecule: non-coding RNA, 280 nt
Filed under: Pongo abelii (Sumatran orangutan)
Lineage: Eukaryota; Metazoa; Chordata; Mammalia; Primates; Hominidae
Source: RNAcentral